UACCUACGGGGCGCAGCAGUGGGGGAUAUUGCACAAUGGGGGGAACCCUGAUGCAGCGACGCCGCGUGGGUGAAGAAGCGCCUCGGCGCGUAAAGCCCUUUCCGCAGGGAAGAAAAUGACGGUACCUGAGGAGGAAGCCACGGCUAACUACGUACCAGCAGCCGCGGUAAUACGUAGGUGGCGAGCGUUGUCCGGAUUUACUGGGCGUAAAGGGAGCGUAGGCGGAUUUUUAAGUGAGAUGUGAAAUACUCGGGCUCAACUUGAGGGCUGCAUUUCAACCUGGAAGUCUAGAGUGAAGGAGAGGG
This 305-nucleotide ribosomal RNA is filed under the name uncultured bacterium. RNAcentral describes it as "bacterial SSU rRNA". It matches the Rfam family "Bacterial small subunit ribosomal RNA", at positions 335 to 658 of the family's 1533-position model. The record is from RNAcentral.